RNAcentral lists this ribosomal RNA (253 nucleotides) under uncultured bacterium. Its description in RNAcentral is "partial 16S ribosomal RNA". It matches the Rfam family "Bacterial small subunit ribosomal RNA", at positions 524 to 776 of the family's 1533-position model. The record is from RNAcentral.
UACGUAGGGCGCAAGCGUUGUCCGGAAUUAUUGGGCGUAAAGAGCUCGUAGGCGGCCUGUUGCGUCCGCUGUGAAAACCCGGGGCUUAACCCCGGGCUUGCAGUGGAUACGGGCAGGCUGGAGGCAGGUAGGGGAGAAUGGAAUUCCCGGUGUAGCAGUGAAAUGCGUAGAGAUCGGGAGGAACAUCAGUUGCGAAGGCGGCUCUCUGGACCAGCACUGACACUGAGGCACGAAGGCUAGGGGAGCAAACGGG